Molecule: ribosomal RNA, 612 nt
Filed under: Theloderma rhododiscus (Chinese bubble-nest frog)
Lineage: Eukaryota; Metazoa; Chordata; Amphibia; Anura; Rhacophoridae
Description: partial 16S ribosomal RNA
Rfam family: Bacterial large subunit ribosomal RNA
Source: RNAcentral
CCCCCCCCCCGUUAACCUAACACCAGAGCAUUCCAGGAAAGAUUAACAGAGAAGGAAGGAACUCGGCAAAUCUCUACCCCGCCUGUUUACCAAAAACAUCGCCUCUUGACCCCAUAAGAGGUCCAGCCUGCCCAGUGACAAAAUUCAACGGCCGCGGUAUCCUAACCGUGCAAAGGUAGCACAAUCACUUGUUCUUUAAAUAAGGACUCGUAUCAACGGCACCACGAGGGUUGCACUGUCUCCCCCCUCUAAUCAGUGAAACUGAUCUCCCCGUGAAGAAGCGGGGAUUCACCCAUAAGACGAGAAGACCCCAUGGAGCUUAAAACUAACAGCAACUCAAUUACACACCACCCACAACCUAUAGAGCCAUGCAUGCCAGUUUUCGGUUGGGGCGACCGCGGAGCAAAAAUUAGCCUCCACAACGAAAAAGAACUAAAUCUUUAUCCUAGAGCCACUCCUCCAAGAAUUAGUACACUAACGAUUAAUGACCCGACUAUCGAUCAACGAACCAAGUUACCCUGGGGAUAACAGCGCAAUCUACUUCAAGAGCCCCUAUCGACAAGUAGGCUUACGACCUCGAUGUUGGAUCAGGGUACCCCAGAGGCGCAGCCG